CAUGCGCAGUCAUUGAGAGUGAGGUUAAGCGGAGCACAGAAGUGCGGCGGCUUCUGGGUGGCCAGCUGUGUGCUGUCAAUACGGACCUGCUUCUAGUCACUUCAUGGACUGCAGCCCCUGACUGAGGGGGAGAGACGUUCGUACAGACUGGUGUGUUCUGCUGAUGAGAGGUAGAGGUCAUGAGAAGGACUGCGGAAUAAAACGUUGCUGUUAACCAGGAAGCCAUCAUUUUGUUCUACAGCAGACCAUGUCGGGGGCCACCUCCAUGCAGACAUUGGUAACAUUUAAUGACGUAGCUAUUUAUUUUUCUGCAGAAGAUUGGAUGUGCUUAGAAGAAUGGCAGAAGGAGCUGUAUAGAAAUGUCAUGCAAGAAAUUCAUGGUGUCUUGGCUGCCAUGGGGUACACUAUUAGCAACCCUGAUGUGUUGGUAAGAAUUCAGAAUCUAGAACCAAGCAGGCCUGGGAGCAGCCAUGAGUCAGUCAAUCAGAAGAGCAGCUGUAAUCUCCAAAGUGGUUUUCCUUCAAGUAACCCGGAUAUUCUUCUACGAGUGAAACAACAUGGCAGCACCUUGCUAGAUGAUCCUGUGCAGCUUAACAAAGAAACACAAUUAGAUCCAUCUGAUGGGGGAAAUUUACAACCUGACAGUGGGUCAACGACAAGUGAAGAUGAUAAUCAACUUAAUGAUCUGAACACAUUUCAGGACAGUGUCAGCAUUUCCAGAGCAGCUGAAGACCCUUCCGAAAAACAGAUUAUGAAUGACAUACAGAACUCUAAAGCCAAGAAUAAUGUCCAAUGGAAAGACUUGUUUGACAAAAUGGAACCCAGAGUGCCACCGAUGGAACAAGGCAAUGAAAACAUAAGAGGUGUAGAGCUGAGUCAUAAACUCCUCAGUGCUGAGAAAAAGUCCAACCCAAAAGAGCGCCUGUACAUAUGCUCUGUCUGUGGGAAAAGUUUUGGUGGCAGUUCUUUACUGGUUAGGCAUAUGAGAAUUCACACUGGUGAGAAACCCUACGCCUGUAACCACUGUGAUAAAUGCUUUAACGACAAGUCCUAUCUCCUGCGGCACUUGAGGACUCAUACCGGAGAGAAACCAUACUCUUGUUCUGUAUGUCUUAAAAGUUUUAGUCAGAAUUCCAGUGUCAUCGCCCACAUGAGGAUUCAUACCGGAGAAAGACCGUUUCAGUGUACAGAAUGUGAUAAGCGGUUCAGUGAUAAGUCAUACUAUUUGCGGCACAUGCGCUCUCACACAGGAGAGAGGCCGUACAAAUGUACCAAGUGUGAAAAGUGCUUCACUCAGACUUCUACUCUAGCUUCCCAUAUGAGGAUCCACACUGGAGAAAAGCCAUUCAGAUGUUGCUAUUGUGAUAAAUGCUUUAGUCAGAGCUCGAGCCUCGUCAUACAUAAGAAACUACACCAGCAGGAGGAAGCCCGGUGAAGGGUGUUACCAAGACACAUAAUUUUGAAGGACCUUGAUUGAAAUUGUAACCUUUGCUGCUGCCAGUACUUUGAAAUAUGGGGUUCUCGCCCAUAUUCAUUGGGGGACACAGGAACCGUGGGAAACAGCGGACGCCUCGCCUCCUUGUUCUCCCGGGGGGAGCACGCCAGCGUUGGUCCGCCACGCUGCCUCCUCCCCCCACAAGAAAACAAGGUGGACCAGGGCAGCCUCGCUCCCUGCAUCCCGCCAGCCAAGGGGUCACCCGUCCAAGCCCCUCUUCCAGCUUCCUGCCACCACAGUGCCAGUAGCUGAAGGGGUGACAAAGCUGGGCCAGAGGAAGGGUGAAGACGUCGUGCCCCCCCCCCAUCCCCCCGCUAGCCCGCAACAGAGCUGGGCAGAUGGUUCCCUUUGAGGGACAUAGCAAGGGGGCAGAGGUUGUUUUAUUCACUAAAGAUAGUGACUUCAAGCCUUCCCCUGUUCUCUACCAGGUGGCAGUGAAGGAGACAUUGCUGACCGGAGGGGUGUUUUUCUACAGUACUCUGCGCUGCUGAGAAAUCAUCUAGGGGAGAAGAUCGCGCUGCAGGGGGGCGGGGCCAGAGCGGAGUCAGCGGUGCAGCGAUAUCGCCAGCGCUUCUUUAAGGCGGCAAGAGCAGCAAACAGGCCGAUAUAUCUGGGCCCCUAUCAUGCGGCCAUGGCACUGUGGGGGUUAAUUAGUGGCGCGGGCACGUGUGCACCGCCGCGUGGAGAGCGGGAGAUACGGGACCUGAGGGGGCGGGGCUUGCUCUUCCCGCCACAGCUUCAGGAAGUACUCGCUGUGGGACUCCCUCCUCUGUUCAGCAUCUGCUCCUGGCUAUGGUAGGACGUGUGCUCCUCUCCUCAGGUCACUGUACUCUCUCCAGCCACAUUCCAACCCCCCUAGGUCACUGACAAUGUCCGAUGCAUCUGGGGCUCUGCCUCGGCUGCCAAUAACCAUUCACUAUGCCUGCUCUAUAUGUCAGACAAAAUUUCCCUGCGGGCAACCGGAUUCUGUCUGCUCUGCUUGUCAGAUGCCUAGGCAGGUGCCCCCCCUUCAGCCCGUCAUGCUGCCUCCCCCUCCACCCGCUGAAUUACCUGAUUGGGCCAGAACUCUCAGGCGGUGGAAAACCUUGCUAAAAUCUCCCAAUCCACCCUAUCUAUAGUGGGUCGCUUAGUUGAGAAUCCGCCACCUCCGCAGGCUGCACCUCCCUCAGAUGCACCCUCCAGAGCCUCUUGCUCGGGCGACCCCCCCCCUAGGUCACUGCCCUCCGGUGAUUCAGUCGGUGCACAGCAUUCACACAAAUUCAUGUUUAAUGUUGAGUGGAUCAUGUUUCUUCCUCUGACACGUCUCCCUCCCCCCACUGACCAACAGGGGGUAUCCUUCUUCCGUCCCAAACAGGCCUCAAGAGUGUUUCCUCGCCAUAAGGAUUCCUCUUCCAGGACGUCUGGCGGGCCCACGUGUCCGGCGCUUGGGAGCUCAAGAUUGUGUCCUCGGGAUACCUGAUCGAGUUAAUGUCUCUUCCCCCGGACUGGUUUUUUCAAUCCCGUCUUCCACGGGACCCAGAGCGCACGGCCACCUUCUCAAAAGCCAUUCAGUCCCUCCUGGACCGGGGA
Molecule: RNA transcript, 3064 nt
Organism: Bufo bufo (common toad)
Lineage: Eukaryota; Metazoa; Chordata; Amphibia; Anura; Bufonidae
Gene name: zinc finger protein 300-like
Exons: 8
Source: RefSeq, a predicted model, not a curated record